Molecule: ribosomal RNA, 254 nt
Filed under: uncultured bacterium
Lineage: Bacteria
Description: partial 16S ribosomal RNA
Rfam family: Bacterial small subunit ribosomal RNA
Source: RNAcentral
UACGUAGGGUGCGAGCGUUAAUCGGAAUUACUGGGCGUAAAGCGUGCGCAGGCGGUUAUUUAAGUCAGGUGUGAAAGCCCUGGGCUUAACCUAGGAAUUGCGCUUGAGACUGGAUAGCUUGGAGUGCGGCAGAGGGAGGUGGAAUUCCACGUGUAGCAGUGAAAUGCAUAGAGAUGUGGAGGAACACCGAUGGCGAAGGCAGCCUCCUGGGCCAGCACUGACGCUCAUGCACGAAAGCGUGGGGAGCAAACAGG